Molecule: ribosomal RNA, 305 nt
Filed under: uncultured bacterium
Lineage: Bacteria
Description: bacterial SSU rRNA
Rfam family: Bacterial small subunit ribosomal RNA
Source: RNAcentral
CCUACGGGGGGCAGCAGUGAGGAAUAUUGGUCAAUGGGCUUACGCCUGAACCAGCCAAGUCGCGUGAGGGAAGACUGCCCUAUGGGUUGUAAACCUCUUUUGUCAGGAAGCAACGCCGGCUACGUGUAGCCGGACUGAGAGUACCUGAAGAAAAAGCAUCGGCUAACUCCGUGCCAGCAGCCGCGGUAAUACGUAGGGGGCAAGCGUUAUCCGGAAUUACUGGGUGUAAAGGGAGCGUAGACGGUGAUGUAAGUCUGGAGUGAAAGGCGGGGGCCCAACCCCCGGACUGCUCUGGAAACUAUGUG